This 1410-nucleotide ribosomal RNA is filed under the name Vibrio alginolyticus. RNAcentral's name for it is "bacterial SSU rRNA". It matches the Rfam family "Bacterial small subunit ribosomal RNA". The record is from RNAcentral. Lineage: Bacteria; Pseudomonadati; Pseudomonadota; Gammaproteobacteria; Vibrionales; Vibrionaceae.
AGUCGAGCGGAAACGAGUUAUCUGAACCUUCGGGGAACGAUAACGGCGUCGAGCGGCGGACGGGUGAGUAAUGCCUAGGAAAUUGCCCUGAUGUGGGGGAUAACCAUUGGAAACGAUGGCUAAUACCGCAUGAUGCCUACGGGCCAAAGAGGGGGACCUUCGGGCCUCUCGCGUCAGGAUAUGCCUAGGUGGGAUUAGCUAGUUGGUGAGGUAAGGGCUCACCAAGGCGACGAUCCCUAGCUGGUCUGAGAGGAUGAUCAGCCACACUGGAACUGAGACACGGUCCAGACUCCUACGGGAGGCAGCAGUGGGGAAUAUUGCACAAUGGGCGCAAGCCUGAUGCAGCCAUGCCGCGUGUGUGAAGAAGGCCUUCGGGUUGUAAAGCACUUUCAGUCGUGAGGAAGGUAGUGUAGUUAAUAGCUGCAUUAUUUGACGUUAGCGACAGAAGAAGCACCGGCUAACUCCGUGCCAGCAGCCGCGGUAAUACGGAGGGUGCGAGCGUUAAUCGGAAUUACUGGGCGUAAAGCGCAUGCAGGUGGUUUGUUAAGUCAGAUGUGAAAGCCCGGGGCUCAACCUCGGAAUAGCAUUUGAAACUGGCAGACUAGAGUACUGUAGAGGGGGGUAGAAUUUCAGGUGUAGCGGUGAAAUGCGUAGAGAUCUGAAGGAAUACCGGUGGCGAAGGCGGCCCCCUGGACAGAUACUGACACUCAGAUGCGAAAGCGUGGGGAGCAAACAGGAUUAGAUACCCUGGUAGUCCACGCCGUAAACGAUGUCUACUUGGAGGUUGUGGCCUUGAGCCGUGGCUUUCGGAGCUAACGCGUUAAGUAGACCGCCUGGGGAGUACGGUCGCAAGAUUAAAACUCAAAUGAAUUGACGGGGGCCCGCACAAGCGGUGGAGCAUGUGGUUUAAUUCGAUGCAACGCGAAGAACCUUACCUACUCUUGACAUCCAGAGAACUUUCCAGAGAUGGAUUGGUGCCUUCGGGAACUCUGAGACAGGUGCUGCAUGGCUGUCGUCAGCUCGUGUUGUGAAAUGUUGGGUUAAGUCCCGCAACGAGCGCAACCCUUAUCCUUGUUUGCCAGCGAGUAAUGUCGGGAACUCCAGGGAGACUGCCGGUGAUAAACCGGAGGAAGGUGGGGACGACGUCAAGUCAUCAUGGCCCUUACGAGUAGGGCUACACACGUGCUACAAUGGCGCAUACAGAGGGCGGCCAACUUGCGAAAGUGAGCGAAUCCCAAAAAGUGCGUCGUAGUCCGGAUUGGAGUCUGCAACUCGACUCCAUGAAGUCGGAAUCGCUAGUAAUCGUGGAUCAGAAUGCCACGGUGAAUACGUUCCCGGGCCUUGUACACACCGCCCGUCACACCAUGGGAGUGGGCUGCAAAAGAAGUAGGUAGUUUAACCUUCGGGGGG